This 362-nucleotide transfer RNA is filed under the name uncultured Microcystis sp. Its description in RNAcentral is "partial 16S-23S ribosomal RNA intergenic spacer". The stretch from base 136 to 209 matches the Rfam family "tRNA". Lineage: Bacteria; Bacillati; Cyanobacteriota; Cyanophyceae; Chroococcales; Microcystaceae. The record is from RNAcentral.
AAAGGGAGACCUAAUUCAGGUAUGGGACGAAAAAAAAGUAGUCCCAACCAAGAAUCAAUCCCAAAAGGUCGGAGCGAGGCGAAAUUGGCUUUCAAACUAGGUUCUGGGUUCACACAAGACCUGAAUCAGGAACAAGGGCUAUUAGCUCAGGUGGUUAGAGCGCACCCCUGAUAAGGGUGAGGUCCCUGGUUCGAGUCCAGGAUGGCCCACCUGCACAGGUGGCAAAAACAAGAGAAGCGAGGAAUCAGCACCUUAUCUUAUAUACAUAUAUAAGAGAGAAUGCUGGCUCUGAGUACAGAGUCCAGAGGAACCUUGAAAACUGCAUAGAGCUAGGUGAAAAAGCCAAAAAAGAAGACCGCAAG